AGAGUUUGAUCAUGGCUCAGGAUGAACGCUAGCUACAGGCUUAACACAUGCAAGUCGAGGGGCAGCAUGGACCCAGCUUUGCUGGGUUUGAUGGCGACUAGCGCACGGGUGAGUAACGCGUAUCCAACCUGCCCUUUACUCCGGGAUAGUCUCCUGAAAGGGAGUUUAAUACCGGAUGUGUUUGUCUUUCCGCAUGGGAGCGACAAAUAAAGAUUGAUUGGUAAAGGAUGGGGAUGCGUCCCAUUAG
This 247-nucleotide ribosomal RNA is filed under the name uncultured bacterium. RNAcentral describes it as "partial 16S ribosomal RNA". It matches the Rfam family "Bacterial small subunit ribosomal RNA", at positions 8 to 244 of the family's 1533-position model. The record is from RNAcentral.